CAACCAGUAGUUUAAUUUAGAAUCCUA
This 27-nucleotide transfer RNA is filed under the name Scomberomorus niphonius (Japanese Spanish mackerel). RNAcentral describes it as "partial tRNA-Pro". Lineage: Eukaryota; Metazoa; Chordata; Actinopteri; Scombriformes; Scombridae. The record is from RNAcentral.